Long non-coding RNA from Equus asinus (donkey), 3584 nucleotides. NCBI's taxonomy places the organism in Eukaryota, Metazoa, Chordata, Mammalia, Perissodactyla, Equidae. The record is from Ensembl.
GUUCAUCACUACUUUUAAGUAACUUAAUUUGUGGAAGGUUGAUGUGAGGCAGACUUAGCAAGCCUGGGCUCAUGUGUAUUCAUUGACUAUUUUGGUAACAGGACCAAAAUGGAAAUUUCCUUCACUCAAGGUUGAGUGCAUUUAAGCUAAGUUGAAAGAUGUACUCUACCAAAAGUUUUAGUAGUUCCCACCGAAAUUGAAGUGAAAUACAAAAUACUCCUUGACUGGUAUAUAGGCUGUGUGAAGAUUAGUGAGUGUUUAAUUUGUAUUUGUGAAAGGUAGAAGGGCACAGGUUUUGCAGUUAAGAUCAGACAGCUAAAAGCUGUGAGAGGAGAUACAGACUUAGGAAAUGGACUUUAAACCUCUAUCUGUAUUGGCAGCUAUUAGAAGAAAGUCACACUCUUGGAACUAAAAAAGCUGGUUUGAAUUUUUCCUCUUCUCCCUAUGUUACCUUAGAAUAUUGUAGGGAGCUUAUAAUUAGUUAUUUUUUAAUCAAGGAAAAACUUAAGUCUCUCUAAGAAGCAAUUAUUUUCCAUAACAUCAGAGUGAAUAACCCACCUUGCUGUUCAGUCCACAUCAUUCUGGAAAGAAAAGGUGAGUUUGCUCCCAAAAUUCCUGUGGUUUUUAAGGAGAUCACUGGAAUAAGUCCCAAACCCACUUCUAGUAGUCAAGCUUCCUUUUCAGUUUUCUCAACUCUUCUCUGGUGAGACAGCUAAUCAGAGAUUAUAGUACCAACUCGGACCCUUCCAUAUGCUUUGCGUAAGUAGUCAGAGUAACUGCCUCAGCUAACUAAACUUGUGUAUAGAACAUAUAUGAGGGCUUCCUCAGGCUUCAUGAGUUUGGGUAAAGGUACUAUGUAGAAGACUGGAUGAAUUACGGUAGGAAUAAAAGUUAGCACUUCCAAUGUUAACAAAAAAGUCCUCUUGUGCCUCAGAAGCAUCACUGAGAGACUUUUUUUUGUCCCAUAUUAUAAAUCUAGUUUUAAUAAGUAUGAAGAUAGUCUUUCAUAUACGAGGAAUAAGUUUAUUAUGCUUCUCCCAUCUAAAGUGAAAACUGCUAAAAGGCAGAAAUAAUGUAUAUCCCAACCCCAGAAUACCUGUUUCUGGGAUUACCUUAUACCUGCUACUCAGGAAACGUUUUCACUGGCUUGGUCUGACUACUUGCCAUCUGCUCUCUGAGCAUUCACUGCUGAAUGAAAGGGGAGAGAAAGUGAAAGGAGAGGUGGUGGGGAAGAGGAAGCUGAAAAAAUAAGAGGAAACAGCUGGGAGCUGAGGAGGUGGGGGACUUAUGUAAGGUCAGUAAAAAAAAGCUAGCAGAGGACAGGGUCAGGCCUUGCGGGUAGAGGGCUAAUUAACUUCUGUCAAAUAGUUGAGUAGAGCCUUGUGUGUUUUGUUAAAGAGGCUAAAGUUACUUGGAAGGAAAAAUCUAGAUUUUCUGAAUCUGACCCAUCUUCCCUGUGUGCCAUAGUAAAUUGUUCAUCAAGUCAAAAUCUAUCCUGCCCUCUAGGAAUUCUGGUCUUCUUUCUUCACGUCUAGCAGAGAACUUGCUGCCACUGCUUGGGCAACCAAGAGUGAAAUGUGUGAAGUAGUGGUUGUGGAUGGCAGGUAAGCUUGAUGUUUUAUUCACAGCUUAACGAGUAAAUGUUGAGUACAGCUGUUGUCCCUAUGUAGAGCUUUAAUGACCAGCCUGCCAGGUCCGUGCACCUGCUUUUAUGCCUGGACCAGAUGACUGACUGUAGAACUUUAGGCAGCUUCUAGUUCAGAGACUUUUCAGGGUUCAAGAAACAUCCUUAAAGGAGCUAAUUCCCUCUCCUGGAGCCUUAGUCAGAUUUUAUGCUGUCCUGGCCUUAUGUUGCCAUCUCUUGGCAUUGGUUUCUAGAAUCCUUCCUAAAGCUUAGUCUAGCUGGUCUUGUGAUGUCACACCAGUGUCUUAGGUUACCACUCCUCACUUCCCUCACCCAGGGAACAUACUACACAGGCUCCUCAACACCUCUUUCAUUUUUCUUUGUUCCUUUCACUACCAGGAAUGGAGGGAUCCUCAGCUGAAGAUCAGAUUGACCCAAUGAGGGUUUUUUUUCCCCUUUUUUAAAUCUAGGCUAAUGCAAGGGAGAAGAAGAAGUACCGACUGAGAAAGAGACAGCCAUAAAAUCUGCGUGUAUUAAUAUGCUAACUGUUUGGAGACUUCUGAGAAACAGUAUCCUUCCUGAACUCUGGACUAUCCUCAAAUCUGGCUAUUUCCCUGAUGUGUUUACCUGCUUCUGCCACUGAUCCAAAUUGCAGAACUUCUCAUUCGUCCUAAGACCUCCAGACGGCAUCCACCAGGGAACUGACUCUAAAAGGAACCAGACCAACAUUUUCCAGCCCCUUCACUCUGGUGACUGAGGGAAAGGAGUGAGAUGGGGUAUACGUGGGUAGUGGAUGGAAAGGAAACAUAGACUGUCAAAUUACUUUACCUCUUCAGUUUCUUUUACUAAUAGAAUCCUGCAACCACAUUAUUUUUAUUGUGUAUAUAUGGGAGAAGUUGGAGAUGGUGACCUUGAUUAGAACGUGGCUCAAGAGGAAUAAAUGGAGGGGAUGAGAUAAGAGACAAUUGGUUAUGAAAGAUGUUAAAGUCUUGAAAUAAUGUGACCAUCUGAAGAAUUUUUUUAAACCAGAGUUUAUAAAAAUAUCACUGAUACAGCCUGCCCCCUCAUUUCCUGCCCAAGGAGACUUCUUGGACUGGAGACACUUGUUUAAUAAUAGCUUGUCUCUGAUAUUUCCAGUAGCUACCUCUAUGUGAGGAAAGGAGAGAAAACGUUCAGGACAUCGUCAUGCAAAGUUCCAGUAGCAGUGACGCCUACACGGAAGACUUGGAACUGCAGAGGCUGGGGUCACCUCAGUGACAUCUGAUGCUGUCCAACCAGAAGUUCGAUUUUUGUUUUGGGGUGGUGGGGUGAGGAAGCACACUGUAUACUGAAGGACUAAAAUAAUUUCUUGUCUACAAUUUCGAAAGCACUUGUUUUAAUUUCUUUGGCGGGAGAGGGGGUGUUCGGGUAGAAUUGCACGUCAUAUCUGGAGUUAAGGGGAGGAUGGGGAAGCUCAGCCCUUCACCCAAGAAUAACCCAGCAAUGACAUCUCUGCGCGUGGGAAGUGUUUCCCUCAGCACUGGGAGGAUCUGAGGCUGCACCCCAGUGGGAUUCCCUGCUUGAGUUGGAAGGCUAACUCAGAGCUAGAUGCAUAUCACAGCGAGAGUGCGGAAGGUUUAGCUGGGAUGAAGUACCAGAAGAGACAGACACUCCAAGUAGAAGGGGCUUCCCCCAAUUUGGAGGUCGGAGCUGUGCUGCGCAUAAGGGACUGAAGAGCCAGGUGACCGCCGUGGCCUGUGCCUUCCGUUGAGGGUCUGAUAGGGACGCGACGCUGCUGGGCACGGUGUCUGAAUCACGGGAGACAGCCCGGCCGUGCCCAGCGAGCCAGCGCCAGACCCUGGCGUCCUCCAUCUUCUCUCCUGAGCUCCCCCUGCUCCAGCUGCCUGAGCCACGGACCGCAGCACCACACACCCCCGCGGGGGGGGACGCCGCGCCCCAUCCCCGCCCCCGGCCCCACCCC